UUGAGGAGGGUGACGGGCGGUGUGUGCGCAUUCUAGAGCUUACUUUACAAAAUUUUUAUUUAUUUUGUUACUGUUGAAUCCUUUUUUAGCAAAAUUUUUCACUUUUGCUUCCUCUGUUUUCUAAGUGUGGUAGCUCAUCUAUCCCCCACCCAUUGGCUGCACCUUGAUCUGACGUUUAGAGGAUACUUCAUUUUGCUCACUCUUUAUUUAAGGUGAGCUGACGACGAUGGUAUACAAGCUGGUUUUCUUGGAUGGGUAAGGUAUCUUGUGGGUUAUCAAUUUGAUGACAAGCUCCUCCAAGGAGGUCUAGAAAACCGCCAAGUUCUUUAAGUUUUAGCUUAGCCGUACUGCUCUGGUGGUUUUUGUUGUUUGAAAAAUAUAGUGGGGUAUCUAAUCCCAGA
RNAcentral lists this ribosomal RNA (401 nucleotides) under Holothuria hilla. RNAcentral's name for it is "partial 12S ribosomal RNA". The record is from RNAcentral. Lineage: Eukaryota; Metazoa; Echinodermata; Holothuroidea; Aspidochirotida; Holothuriidae.